Danio rerio (zebrafish) is the source of this 117-nucleotide ribosomal RNA. The record is from Ensembl. Lineage: Eukaryota; Metazoa; Chordata; Actinopteri; Cypriniformes; Danionidae.
AGCCACAACCAUAUCAACCUGCAGCCCAAGAAUGGUUACUCACUGAAGCUAAGCAGGGCUGGGCCUGGUCAGUACAUGGAUGGGAGACCACAUGGGAAAUCCAGAUUGCUGUUGGAA